AGUGAACGCUGGCGGUAGGCCUAACACAUGCAAGUCGAACGGCAGCACAGUAAGAGCUUGCUCUUACGGGUGGCGAGUGGCGGACGGGUGAGGAAUAUAUCGGAAUCUACUUUUUCGUGGGGGAUAACGUAGGGAAACUUACGCUAAUACCGCAUACGACCUACGGGUGAAAGCAGGGGAUCUUCGGACCUUGCGCGAUUGAAUGAGCCGAUGUCGGAUUAGCUAGUUGGCGGGGUAAAGGCCCACCAAGGCGACGAUCGGUAGCUGGUCUGAGAGGAUGAUCAGCCACACUGGAACUGAGACACGGUCCAGACUCCUACGGGAGGCAGCAGUGGGGAAUAUUGGACAAUGGGCGCAAGCCUGAUCCAGCCAUACCGCGUGGGUGAAGAAGGCCUUCGGGUUGUAAAGCCCUCUUGUUGGGAAAGAAAAGCAGCAGGUUAAUACCCCGCUGUUCUGACGGUACCCAAAGAAUAAGCACCGGCUAACUUCGUG
This 492-nucleotide ribosomal RNA is filed under the name uncultured bacterium. RNAcentral describes it as "partial 16S ribosomal RNA". It matches the Rfam family "Bacterial small subunit ribosomal RNA", at positions 29 to 507 of the family's 1533-position model. The record is from RNAcentral.